CAAACUUGGUCAUUUAGAGGAAGUAAAAGUCGUAACAAGGUCUCCGUUGGUGAACCAGCGGAGGGAUCAUUACCGAGUUUACAACUCCCAAACCCCUGUGAACAUACCACUUGUUGCCUCGGCGGAUCAGCCCGCUCCCGGUAAAACGGGACGGCCCGCCAGAGGACCCCUAAACUCUGUUUCUAUAUGUAACUUCUGAGUAAAACCAUAAAUAAAUCAAAACUUUCAACAACGGAUCUCUUGGUUCUGGCAUCGAUGAAGAACGCAGCAAAAUGCGAUAAGUAAUGUGAAUUGCAGAAUUCAGUGAAUCAUCGAAUCUUUGAACGCACAUUGCGCCCGCCAGUAUUCUGGCGGGCAUGCCUGUUCGAGCGUCAUUUCAACCCUCAAGCACAGCUUGGUGUUGGGACUCGCGUUAAUUCGCGUUCCCCAAAUUGAUUGGCGGUCACGUCGAGCUUCCAUAGCGUAGUAGUAAAACCCUCGUUACUGGUAAUCGUCGCGGCCACGCCGUUAAACCCCAACUUCUGAAUGUUGACCUCGGAUCAGGUAGGAAUACCCGCUGAACUUAAGCAUAUCAAUAAGCGGAGG
RNAcentral lists this ribosomal RNA (585 nucleotides) under uncultured Fusarium. RNAcentral describes it as "eukaryotic LSU rRNA". The stretch from base 221 to 374 matches the Rfam family "5.8S ribosomal RNA". Lineage: Eukaryota; Fungi; Ascomycota; Sordariomycetes; Hypocreales; Nectriaceae. The record is from RNAcentral.